GUGGGUGAGGCCCCGUGGGCCUCGAACCCUGAUCUGCUUCUAGCCGGCGAAUAACUGGAAUUAACGGAGCAGGUUUAGUGUGCACGUGAGAUACUCUGGACCUUUCCACCCGCCCCACCCGACUGCGGGGAUAGUCACACAGUCACGUGCCGGGUGGGUCCCGGGGGUCGCACUUCGCUGGAGCUGGUCCCCGAGCCGCUGGCAGUGAAGUGACGGGGAAAGCGCGGGACCGGAAGGAGGGACGCGGGGCUCCAGGACUUCCAGCGCUUUCAGGCUAAUACUGGAUGCACACGAAAUCACAUGUUGAGCAAAUAUAAGGAAGACAUUUAAACCGCGAUGGAAGAGGGCCAGUUUCUCUUUACGUUCCUGCGCCCCCUCCUUCAGCCCUUUUCAGCUUGGGUGAUACACGGCUGCAGGCAUUUGGGGUUGAGCCAAGUACACGGGCCUCUCACUGUUGUGGCCUCUCCUGCUGCGGAGCACAGGCUCCGGACGCGCAGGCUCAGCGGCCAUGGCUCACGGGCCUAGCCGCUCUGCGGCACAUAGGAUCUUCCUGGACCGGGGCACGGACCUGUGUCCCCUGCAUCGGCAGGCGGACUCUCAACCACUGCGCCACCAGGGAAGCCCCCACAAGUGCUUCUUUACGUUGGGCCUAAAACCAUGUCCCCUUAACUUUCAAUCAAGGGACCUGGUUCUAACCAUCGUUUCUAGCAUUCCCAGCACUUUCUAAUCCUUUGGAAACCUCAGAACUAGUUCAAGCUAAUACGUGUUGCAUAACCCUGCCCUGCCUGACGCUCAUCAGUUUUCUCAUAGAAGAUUUGGACCCUUGUUGUAUACAUGCCUCUUCUUACUAUGACUUUAAGAAAACUAGUCAGUCUUUUUCCUCUGUUUUUUCUUUUUCAAAAACUAGGCAAUUUUUACAUGUGGGGUGUUUCAUUCUUAAUAUAUAGCCUAGUGAGUUAAACUCAUUUCUGCACGUGAGUUAGGCAUGCUACAUGAAGCCUACUAUUAAACAUCAAGCCCUUCAUCUUUUGGUGUUAAUAAGUCAACCUCAGAACCACUCAGGCCUCACAUGUGGCUCUACCCCACCAUAUGCUCUUUAGUAAUGAGCUCAGAGUCAGAUUUCCUCCUAGGUCUCACCAGAGCACAGUCUAGUUAACCUAAGCUGCGACUCCUGCUUUCUGCACAAAACGUCUUCACCGACAUGGUUUUCAGAUGGUCUUUUAAUUGUGGGACCACGGGAAGCCUUACCCAUGGUAGUUCACGUGGGGAUCACAGAUGGCAUGAUGAAUGCAUUGUUCUUGUGCAUUAUGCUUUAUGGCAGGGAGGGACAGGAAACUAUCCAGGGUGACUCAGUUAGACAAGAGUUGUGGAAUGCGUACAUCCUGCAUAACCAUGCUAAGAGUUUGCCUUAGGCUGUGUCUUAGAACCGGAAAUGCUGCAAGAAUGUGAGCUGACCUGUAUGUUAUCCUCAUGCGCUGUUCAGACAUGUACAGAAAUAAUAAUGCCUAUCGUUCUUUGAUUCCGGGGACCUUCAGUCUCACACCUAUUCGUUUAUAGCUACUCCUUUUUUUUUUUAAAUUGGGGUAUAGUUGAUUUACAAUGUUGUGUUAGUUUCAGGUGUACAGCAAAGUGAUUCAGUUAUAAAUAUAUAUAUUACUCCUUAUUCCUUUAGUAUGGAGGCUUGGAAACCCGUAUAACUUACGUCGAGGGGAAGACAGGAAAGCACAGGUUGAUAGCAUUUGGCUGCCAUGGAUACUUCUUUCACUUGUAUCAUCACAAUGAAUCAGACCACAGCUUGGACUCAACUUUCUGCCGUCGGUGACUUUUCCCGGUGGGUGGAGCAAUCAGUAUCAGAUGAUAACUGGGCUUAAGGAAAAUAACUUUCAAGUCAUACUUGCUUAAAAGAGAUCUACUCAGUCAAAAGGCUACAUUGCUUAAACAGUGAGAAAAAUCCAUGAAUAGAUAGAUUUCAUAAUGACAAAAGAAAAAGAAGAAAAGAAGGAACCGUGAGUCACCCACAGAGGACGCCAGGGAACUGUGACAUAAUAAGAAAUAUGUGUGUGGUGUCUCCACGGGCUUCCUGGCGCAGAGCUCCUGAAACGCUUGGAAUUUCUUGAGCGAUCGGGAAUGAACGAGAGUUUAGAAGACCAAAUAUUUCAAACCAACCAGUGAAGCCCUUUGGUGUGGUUUUGACUCCAAAGCAGCAAGACUGUCUCCUGGUCUCCCAGGGCCAUACGCCACGGGCUCACUUUUCAAAUUAAGGUGAAAUCCAAGUGAAGGUGGAAAGGCAAGGUGUGAGGUCCUUCGACAGCAUCCCUGGUAGGUGACCAUCCACUCUCUAUAAACACCUCCAAUGGCAGGGAAUCUCAGCCACAUUCAUGAAGCUUCACUGUUGCCUCACCAGGAACCAGUCUUCCCCAUUUCCCAGGACGGCAUUUCGAGUCUUAGAGACAGUGUUCUCAUCCCCGCCCCGAGUCAGUGAUUCCUACCUGGAGUCUCGGGAAUGUGAGGGGACAGCCAUCCUAUUGGACAAUACCAGCUCCUUGGAACAGCCAAGGUUAGCAGUUGGGGGCUUUUCCUUAGAUGCCGUGAUGCUCUGUUGAGGUUAGAAAUUUAUUUCAGUGGUUAGAAAACAAGAACAUACACUAAAAUCUUUAAAAAUGGUUUUAUUUUAUUUUUUUAAAGAUUUUUUGGUUUUGACAUGGACCAUUUUUAAAAGUCUUUAUUGAAUUUGUUACAAUAUUGCUUCUGUUUUAUGUUUUGGUUUUUUGGCCACAAGGCAUGUGGGAGCUUAGCUCCCCCAGUGCAGGGGAUGUGGGAUCGAACCCACAGCCCCUGCGUUGGAAGGCGAAGUCUUAACCACUGGACCACCAGGGAAGUCCCUAAAAGUGGUUUUAAAACCACUCUCUUAAAUUUUCUCUUCCCCAGGGUAAACAUUGCUUGCUCUUUGAAAUAUUGGUAAUACAGGUUUAUAUAUUUUUUAAAAUAUAAUAAAUAAUGAAGUAUAAAUUAUAUAUAAGAAAUUACAUGUAUAUUAUAUUAAAAUAUAUAUGUAUGUUAUUAGAAAAGGGUAGCCUCACCCACACGCACUUUUAGGACAAGACCUAGCGACUGUACACAUCACUUGUCGUCACAUCUCAUUGGCUGGAGCGUUGCCACGUGGCUGCACCUGCUGUCAGGGAGCUGGGGGAGGUAGUGUGUGUCUGGCAACCCAGGCGCCGGGGUAAAACUUUCCCUGCUCUGGAAGGAGGGAAGAGGCAGCGUGGGGGGCUCUUAGCAUUUCUGCCACGAUAACUCUAAAUAGAAUCUAUGCGACCACAUAGCAUAAUGACAGUGUGUCCUGGUUUUGUCACCAGGCCCAGCGGUGAGGCUGCGUAAGGGUCACGGGAGUGGAGACACACAGAACGGAGCCAGUAUUCAGUUCAGGAAUCAUAGAAUUUAGUGCACGUGGUGAGCACACAGCACAGCUUAGUAAGAGUAGGGAGAACACAGAAGGGGUACCGACCUCGCCAAGGAGAAGUCUGGGAGGAGGCAGCUCAGCGCCAGCAGGGUCCCUGGUUUGUGAUGGUUUCAGGACGUCUGUGAGUGGGACUCGCCCUCGGCUGGGACAGGGCCUCGGGCAGCGCCUGGACAUUCCACAGUGUCUGGUCGGGUCCUCCAGCCAAGAGCCUUCAGUGUCCGACUCUGGGGGGUCUGCCUGGAGGUGGGCAGGUGCUGCCCCAGGGCCUCUCGUCUCCAGCAGCUACUCUGUGCCAGCGAAGGUUUCCGUGAUGUUACAAGGCAAGUCCUUAAAUUCAUUCUCUAAGUCUGUGAGUCUCUUCCUGUUUUGUAAACAAGUUCAUUUGUAGCAUCUUUCUUUUUAGAUUCCGCAUAUCGAUAUCGUAUAUUGGUCUUACUAACACAACAUUGUUAAUCACCUAUGCUUCAAUAUACAAUAAAAAUUAAACAAACAAACAAAAAACAAAGUCCUCAUCUAAAGGAACGCUCUUAGCUCACCAUACGGACGCGCUCACAGCCCGGCACCCGACGCUUUGGAACAACCAGCCUGGCAGUUGACGCUGGCCGUUGGGACUCCGCUUUGACUGCUGAACAAAGCUUGAAUCCGAGGAGUUUCACACCAGACAAGCAGGGAGCACAGACUGCAGCAUAACCGUCCUAAACUGAGAGCUUCACUGAAAUAUUCAAAUACAAGGAACGUGUGUGAAAGACGUUUGUUCUUGGCUGGCUAACACCCGUUCAGUCCACCUCCAGUCACAAUUCCGGGUUUUGUUUGGGCAUCUAGUCUUCCUCUCUGUCCAUCUGGUUGAGGGGGAGUCUGGGGGUGACUUGUGACCUAGCCAAACCUCUCAGAACCCCACAGUCCCUAGACGAGCGUGACUGGGUCGGGAUUGGCACGUGACUCAUUCCAGCUACUAGAAAAGCAGGUUCCUUUAAUUCUGCUGCCAUCUUGCCAUGUGGAGCAUAUGACAAUGAAAGAACUUUUUUUUUAGCCCAGGAUCCAGCCACGUUUCGCGUCUGCUCUCCACUGGGGCUUCUUAGCCACGAGAUCCAGGAAAUCCUCUUCUCCAUCCCUGUUUUGUUUUUCUCCUUACACCAGUUUGUAGUGGGUUUUCUGUAACUUGCAAUAGAAAAAAAAUCCUAACUGAUACAUUUGAGAUUAUUCCUAACUCUCCUACAUGGAAAAUAACACAAUAAACAAUUAAAAUAAUUAAAUAAGAUAAUUAAAAACCAAGUAAGAUAUCUGACUAGUUCAUCUAUUCGCAUGAAUGAACUGUUAUAUAGCAGAGAUAUACAAAGCGUCAUUGUUCUGCACUGUGCAGCCAGAAUCUGAAGCCCUAGCCUGAUCACAGGCUGCAAGAAUUCUUUGCCACACGUUGCUCGGUAACGAAUAUUACUGUAGAUUUAAGAGCUUGAAAAUUCCGUCAUUAUCAACAAUUCAGCCUGAAAUCUUUCUGGAACGACGUGGGAAUAUAAAUAAGUUUAAAAGGCAUCAAGCCGUUCCUUCCUCUUUCUAACAGCUUCUUUUCUAGGAAGUCAAACUCUCCUUUUACACAGACCUCUUGUUCUCACCCUGUGGUUCUUAAGAGACGCCAACAAUACUUCUUCUUACCACUUACACUGAAUAAAUAAUUCAGGGUAAUAUAAUACCGAGUGGAACUUAGAACUGAUAGACUUCUUCCAAGCCCUUUAAGAUGUAUCUUCAAAAGAAAACACUGAAGGACGCUUUUAUGGAUUCCUCUAUUCUUCCUAAUAAGGUCAAAAUAAUAACAACACUCAUACUUCACAUUGUCUGUUUGGCAAAGGCCCGUUUGACCGACAGGGUGGUGCUGGUAACAGGCACGUGAACCCUGCAAGGCUCCUGCCUUGUGCGAGAUUAAGGGACGCGCGGGCAGAGCGGAAUGCAAAGGUGUUCUGUCACAUCUUCUCUAACGAACGACCGCAUCAGAGUUACCUUAGAAACAAAGGGUUUAUCUCAUCUUAAAGAUGGGCAGGGACUUCCCUGGUGGUAUAGCAGUUAAGAAUCCACCUGCCAGUGCAGGGGACAUGGGUUCAAUCCCUGGUCCAGGAAGAUCCUACAUGCUGCGGAGCAACUAAGCCCGGGCGCCACAACUACUGAGCCUGCGCUCUAUAGCCCGUGAGCCACAACUACUGAGGCCACGCACCACAACUACUGAAUCCCUCGCGCCUAGAGCCCAUGCUCCCCAACAAGAGAAGCCACUGCGAAGAGAAGCCCUUGUACUGCAACGAAGAGUGGCCCCCGCUCACCGCAACUAGAGAAAGCCCGCGCGCAGCGACUAAGACCCAACGCAGCCAAAAUAAAUAAAUAAAUAAUUAAUUUUUUAAAAAAGAUGGGCAAAGGAGGGAAUUCCAGUCCUUUUCAGUAACCCAUGUAGUUACGUAACACGCCUCACAAGAAGUUAAUCAACUAUGUUUUAUCCAAAUCCGUUGAGUUGAAAUUCCUUUGUCCUCAGUGGAAUUAGAAAGCUACUGGCUGUCGUCAGUGUGAGCCCCCUUCGUGUAUUUGAACCCUGUAUUAAAAGCUCUGU
Globicephala melas (long-finned pilot whale) is the source of this 6047-nucleotide long non-coding RNA. RefSeq lists it as uncharacterized. The record is from RefSeq and is a predicted model, not a curated record. NCBI's taxonomy places the organism in Eukaryota, Metazoa, Chordata, Mammalia, Artiodactyla, Delphinidae.